RNAcentral lists this ribosomal RNA (252 nucleotides) under uncultured bacterium. RNAcentral describes it as "partial 16S ribosomal RNA". It matches the Rfam family "Bacterial small subunit ribosomal RNA", at positions 524 to 774 of the family's 1533-position model. The record is from RNAcentral.
UACGUAGGGGGCUAGCGUUGUCCGGAAUCAUUGGGCGUAAAGCGCGUGUAGGCGGUCCGGUAAGUCCGCUGUGAAAGUCGGGGGCUCAACCCUCGGAUGUCGGUGGAUACUGUCGGGCUUGAGUACGGAAGAGGCGAGUGGAAUUCCGAUGGUGUAGCGGUGAAAUGCGCAGAUAUCAGGAGGAACACCAAUUGCGAAGGCAGCUCGCUGGGACGUCACUGACGCUGAGACGCGAAGCGUGGGGAGCGAACG